This 492-nucleotide ribosomal RNA is filed under the name uncultured bacterium. RNAcentral describes it as "partial 16S ribosomal RNA". It matches the Rfam family "Bacterial small subunit ribosomal RNA", at positions 29 to 507 of the family's 1533-position model. The record is from RNAcentral.
AGUGAACGCUGGCGGUAGGCCUAACACAUGCAAGUCGAGCGGCAGCAGAGUAAGAGCUUCUGCUUACAGGUGGCGAGUGGCGGGCGGUGGAUAAAUACAUCCGAAUCUGCGGUUGCGUGGGGGCGGACGCAGGGGAACAUACGCCAAUACCGCAGACGACCUACGGGGGAAAGCUUGGGAUCUUCCGACCUCGGGCGAGUCAAGGAGCCGAUGUCGGAUUAGCUAGUUAGCGGGGUAAAGGCCCACCAAGGCGACGAUCCGUAGCUGGUCUGAGAGGAUGAUCAGCCACACUGGAACUGAGACACGGUCCAGACUCCUACGGGAGGCAGCAGUGGGGAAUAUUGGACAAUGGGCGAAAGCCUGAUCCAGCCAUGCCGCGUGUGUGAAGAAGGCCUUCGGGUUGUAAAGCCCUUUUGUUGGGGAGGAAGAGCAGCAGGUUAAUACCCCGCUGUUCUGACGGUACCAAAAGAAUAAGCACCGGCUAACUUCGUG